This 3219-nucleotide long non-coding RNA is filed under the name Mus caroli (Ryukyu mouse). RNAcentral's name for it is "lncRNA (MGP_CAROLIEiJ_G0004755.1)". Lineage: Eukaryota; Metazoa; Chordata; Mammalia; Rodentia; Muridae. The record is from RNAcentral.
UCCUCUGUGAGAGCUGGACAUCAGGCUGUCUGCAUUCACUAUCCUUUCCUUCUGUACAAAUGAUAUGUGACCAGAUGCUUCGAACUCCUACUGCCUUUUACUUCCCAUCAUGCUUUGCAACUCUCAAUGGAAGCUGGAAUAAACCCAUUCUAAGUCACUUUGGUCUGAGAAUUUCAUCACAGCAACAGGGGAAAAAAUGGAGUUUAGAUUCAUGCAAUAAACACUGUUCUUCCCUCAGAUCUUCCCAUUUCUUCAAAAGAAGAGUGGACCAGUGUGACUGUUGGCCGGGCUUCCUCUUCCACUUGUCUUGCUGAAGCUGAAAUAUACGUCUGUGAUCAAGACUCAUCCAAGGCUCAGCAGAACCACCUGCAGCAUGGGCAAGGUCUGAAAACCGUCCAUCCUUCCGAGAGGCCCUGCAGACAGGUUCACAGGUUGCUGAGCAUGGGCAGAACAACCCGUCCAGCCAACACACCUCCCAGUGAAUUCAUCCCCAGUCUUCACCGGACUCAAAACUGGAGGCUGGAAGGCAAGCCACCAAUGGAUCUGGUGUCUGCUCAGGGUGACAAGACCAAGGCUGAGAGAUUAGGAAAGGGCUAGGAACCUGAGUCACUGGCUGAGCAAACUACAGGUCAAUGAUGGACCUUCUCAAAAGGAAUAGAUAAAUGAUUGAGAAAAAAAAGCAUCAUCAACUUUUGCCCUCCACAACUGCCUACAGAGAGAAACUCGUCUGGACAAAAAGAUGUCCUCUGCAGAUGGCACCAGUCAAAAGAACCCAGUAAACACCAAACCUUGGUCUGCAGGACAAACCACAACCCUUCCUGAGGGUCAGUUCCUCGGAUGUGACUGGAGUUGCUCCAGAUAUUACAAUUAAAACAAGGGCAUUUCAUUACAUUAUCUUCCCUGGGAAUGUUCAUUAAAAUUAAAAGAGGUAGAGGAGGUGUAGGAGGAGGAAGAAGAGGAGGAGGAGGAAGAAGAAAAAGAAGAAGAGGAGGAGAAAGCUGCUGCCACUGCUGCUGCUGACGACUACCUGGGCUCUGCGCAGCUUCCCUGGCCACACCCCUUCCCACACACCUGCAGGAAGACCACAGCAGCCACAGAGAAUGGGUCGGUACUAAGGUCAGUUCAUAAUAAAGAGCCUUCCAGAAGCCCCCAUCCCCACCCCAAGCCAACAGGAAUUGGCAAUGAACUUUGAGAAAAGGCUACGCGAGCCAGAAAACAACUUAGGGCUGUUUAAUUUUCCUGACAUGAACGCUGGCCACCCAAGGGGAUAAAGGAAACACCUGUCUCCCGUGGGCAGCGGUUCUGCAGGGCGUGUGGACAUCCAGAAAGCUGCUGGGAGGCUUCUUUCACCCGCCAAGUUAGAGACAAACGAACCUGGGGAAAGAGUGGUUUCACAGAAGACCAUGGACCCCAGCCUGGGUCUCAGCUCUGCCUCUGACUAGGAAGGGGCCACUAGAAUCAGCAACCCCACCUCUAAGAAGAACAUAAGCUUUUUGCACAGUAUUCUCUCACGGGCUUUUAUUGAGACUCAUAAAGGAAGCAACAACACUUGAGAGUGUGAGUUGCAAAGUGGAAAAAACAAAACAGAAACAAAAACAACAACAACAAAAAACAUGUGAACCUGACGUUGGAGCAAAGGAUGAAACCAGCAAUUGCAAGCCAGGAGAAUCCUUGGGAAGUGAGGCAGGGCAGCGGAACAGCCUGAGCACAGAGGUUCAGGGUCAGGGUAGGGUGCCUGGCGAAUUCCCGUAACGCAGGACACUGCCCAAGCCAGUUUCAUAAAAAGUCACUCCGUUGAUUUCAGGCUCAAUGGGAACAUCUCUUGGCUGUUUGCUGAAUUUAGACACUUUAAAAAGUUUUCUUUGACUGAACACGGGGUUCCUGAGACCAGCUUCCUGGGGGUAUCUUGGUAAACAAGCCUCCCACCACGAAUUUCCUUGCUGUUAUUGUAACUGGUUUUAACUGCACUUGAGUUUGUUUGGUUUGGUCUUUUGUUGUUGUUUUUUUUUGUUUGUUUGUUUUUGGUUUUGUUUUGUUUUUUCCUUUUUCCCUUUCAGACAGUUGCACUUAAAAUGUACUAACUUUUCAGUGAGAGAGGUAGGUUUGAGAGAAUAUGUUUGAACUCCCUUGAUGGAUCCUGUCGGUCCUAAGGCAGAUCCCCGUCCCAGACAGUGUCGCUUUGGACAGAAAACACAAAUCCUUGGAGAAGUGAGGUGAUAUGAGGAAGUGGCUUGGCAAGCUGUGGCUGUGCCUUGAUCUGCUGCUAGCCUCCAACCCCAGCUGUACAGGCACUGUGUGAGGUGUUCAGCCAUGCCUUAGCCAUAGUAAGCAUCCUGGGUUAAUGAGGUAAUGUUUAUAUGAUUUGUGAGGUCACCUGAUAGAGGGAAAAGACACAUGGUCCUCCAUUUUGUUAUUUGGGGAGUGGGGAAGAUGGCAGGCUAGUGAAAUUCAGGAGUCAAGAAACAUGAUGUGACCAGUUACAUAUCACAAAAAAAGAAGGAUAAGAAGGAAGAGGAGGAAGAGGAAGAAGAGAAAAGGGAAAAAAAGGAAGAAAGAGAAAAGCUGAUGGGAAUAGCAGACGCCCAGGUCUUUAGAAAUGGUUUCAUCAUCUUUGGGAAGUGCAGAUUGUGGUCACAGACCCCAGAUAUUUCACACCAACAAAAACCAUCUGUCUGCUGCAUCUACAAACCAACCUCCACUUCCUGCCUUUGGUAUAGGCUAUCAGCUCUUUAAUAAACCAAUCAGAAUGUUAGAGAGGGAGUGUUUACAAGAUGUAGCCAUAUGAAUAAUAAUACCAAAGUCCAGUCUACACUCAACUCUGCAGGCAUAGAAACCAUCAUUUGAAUAAUACGAAGACAACAUUUACUCUGUGCAUAAUAAUAUCACCCCAACACGUGGGUGGGGCUUUGUGAUGGAGUAAUGACAGAAGGGGGCUCACAUGUGGGCAGUGGGCUAGUUUCUGAUAGUGAAAGGGCAGGAGACACAGGGAAGGACAGGAGGAGGUUCUCAAGGAAUGAUGGACAGAGUAAGGUAAGGUUGAAUUUAAACUUGGGUUUUCAAAGAACUUUCAGGAAAUCUAAGUAGAAAAAAACUUGAAUACAUUGGCCUAAUGCAAGAUCUUUUGACCUACCAUUUUACAUGGGAAAUCUUUAUAUGAACCCAGCUAUAUCAGUAAAUGAAAUAAGCCUAUAAGUCAAACAUUUACUAAAAAUAAGUUUU